Long non-coding RNA from Gadus macrocephalus (Pacific cod), 3493 nucleotides. RefSeq lists it as uncharacterized. Lineage: Eukaryota; Metazoa; Chordata; Actinopteri; Gadiformes; Gadidae. The transcript has 3 exons. The record is from RefSeq and is a predicted model, not a curated record.
UAGCUAGAACAUUUAUUUUGUCACAUACAGCAAUCAUCUCCUAACGAUCCACUAGCUGCCUGUCCGCUGAAUAUGCUAGCUCUCUGUUUUGUUUGAAACAUCAACCGCCGUGACGGCACCCAAAAAUACUUCGAGAACCUUCAACAUAGAAAUGUGGUUAACAUCAUAUUCAGACAAUCAAGCACAUAUUAACCGAGCACUCUAUACUAUUCAUUUUGUUCUUUUAUUUAUUUUUAAAAAGAAAAUGCUUUGCAUGUUUCAAGUACUCAAAAUAUAGGCUAUUUUUCUCGGUGUGUUUUACUUUUCGACACUUCCUCUGCUCAAGUGCAUGGUGCUAUUUCAAAAGGUCCUUGCUCACUUAACUGCUGAACUUUAAAGGCUCUCUGUCUCUACUACCUAGCAGCCACCAUGUCUAGCAACACAACAGUCUUUCUACGCAUUAUCUGUUUUAGCUUUCAAUGACAUGUUAAGUCACUUUUGCAUUGUCAUGCACUGGUAAUUCCUUGGAAUAACAUUUGUAGUUAUUUUGCUAAUAGGGUUGUGUAAAGGUGGUUAGAUUAUAUACCUAUUGUUAACCUUACACAUAACGCAUAACACUAAAAAGUACCAACAUAGCCAAUAAUAACAAGCAAUGACAAAUAUAAUGUUAACUCAACAAUAGCACAUACAUUACAAUAAUACGAAUAAUAAUGCAAUCAUAAUACAUUGAGUGUAGGCUUAAACAUGUUCAGCUACAAAACAAAUAGUAAUCAAUUAAAAUAAAAAGGUAAAACUAUAAAAAGUUAAUAAAAGUAUGGCUCCAUAAUCAAUUACAUUAACAGAAUGGCGAGGUGAUUUCUUAAAACUCAAAUGUAUUGCUUACCUACCUGUACAUGAAUUGCAUCCAAUUUUUCAGAGAGACCUUUGAAUGACUGAACAUUGACUUAUGCCGCACAGAUUUUUGUGUGGGCUUUCUGUAAUGUGCAGUCCGUCGACAGAUCCUAACAAACAGUAACAUACCGUUGUUGUUAUUUAGAGAGGUGCAUCAUACAAUUCAAAUACAAUCAGCACAAUUGUACAUGUCCCCAUAUUUUACUAUAAACUACAAAAUACAUGAUAAGGAAAAGCCCACAUAUCGAGAACUAUGAAUGGAAAUGUCAUGCAUAUUACGGAACAGCGCCAAAAGAUGUAGUGGCCAUAAAUAGGCUAAAUUCACGAGAAGAGAGUGUGCGCGCUUUAGUUCAAAUGUGUGUGGCAUACCCCCCAUUUUGUUUUUUCUUUGGUCCCUCUUUCAUGAACAUGUGCACCCCAAGUAGGCUUAUCAGACUAGUCCCAUAUGAAGUUGAAGAAAUAAAUUACUUCGUUUUUUUACAAUAAAAAAUUGCAGCAUAUCAUGCUAUUCAAACUGAAUGUAUCUCAUCUCAGCUAUCCAUUUCUUACCAAGCAUAUUGGUCCACACAGUUUCCUCUUCUCUUCAGCUCCAUGCCAUGAUAGCAUUUACUGCAUUUCAUUUUUCUUCUCAAAAGUUUUUUCCUCUGAAACCACUUAAUAAGCUUCCAAGCAUUUUGUUUAGAGACAUCCUGAUGUAGAAGGUUUCUCACACUCCUGAAUCUUGUCAUUGCACUGGUGAAUGAUGCCGCCAGGAUCGUGCUGCCACAGAAUCGAAUGCCUGCGUUCAGUAGGGAUCGCGUCAUCAACGUGGGACAAAGAAAGGUUUCGCGCUUAUUCUAUAGUGAUAGCCACCUGUUCCAGUUGGUGGACAGCAGCAGUAAUAAUGGCAAACAGAAAACGGAUACAGACUAGAGGAAGAAAAUAUGUAGAGGAGACAGAAGCGGAAGGCAGCAGUGUUGGUGUGUCAGCAGCCCCCACAGCACAGCUGGCACUAAACAAUAAAGCACAUGAGUUGCAGAUGUGCAAAAAGAAAAUGGAAUGGCAGAAUGAGAAAAUAGAGGAGUUGACCAAGGAGAGAGAUUUCCUCAAGGAACAACUAGUAUCCGGCAAGUCUCCCAACACAAUGUUUAGUCAAAGUGUUGGUUUGUUUUUAGUAGGGUAGAAGGAAGGCAUUGCGUGUCCUCUUCGCCUCCAGUCCGCCACAGUCAUCUGCCGAGUGGUCCAAGAAUGUACAGAUCCAUAUUAGCAGAUUCGCACAUUCCCUUUCCACAGUCCAUCAGGUUAUUGAACUGCUGUUAUUAACACACAACCGCAAACUCAUGAUGUUAAAGUCUUCGCUUAGUAAGGUUCUGGUUUAAGAGGCAGUCUUUGCUUUCAUUGAAAUAGUACUACUAUUGCUUGGCAGCAGGCUACAUCUAUCAAUUAAUGACAGGAACGUCUGUCUCUCAGUCUGCGUGUGUUUGUGUACCUGUUAUUCGCAUAUCUCCCGAAUACAAUUUACAUUAGUAUUGUGAUUGUUGUUUUAACAUUCACAUUAGUAUUAAAAUUACUUUAAAAAGUAGUGGGGGAAAAAGUGUGACCAUGAACUUGCAGGAUCUGGCUGUGCAUUGUAUGCGUGCCGUGCACAUAUGUGUUGUUAUGUAUUAUGUGUUGUGACUCUUAUGUUUGUAUUUUAAUCUUUUUAAACAGCUCUUAAAAAAGAUGAGCCCAAAGCAACUGCCGGUUCCAGUAGUGUCUCUACACUGGACUCAUCUUCCUCCGAGAUGAGUUCAAAGAGUACCGACUCAGAGUCAUCCAACAGCUCAUCCUCAGAGGACAAGAAGAGGAAGAAGAAGGGGAAAGGGAGAAAGAAGGCAUCCAAGAUGGUUAAAAUGGAAAAAACACUGCAAAGAGCCCGGAAUCCCGAGCAGGCUUUGGCCCGGUACAAAAAGAUUCUUAAAUACUACAAGAGGCUUGGAACCAUGUCUGGGGCAUUUCGAAAGGUCGGUGUUGACCGUAAUACAGUGGUGGUCAAUGCACCAAUCGCCGAGCUUUCCAUUGCUGCCCCAGACCAGUACAAGGAAGCUUUGAAAACGUAUACCCAUUCCACAAAAUUGAAAGCAUUUGCGGAACACUGUGCCUUGACAAUUCUAGGCGAUGUAGAAAUAGUUGACGCAGUCAACACGCUUAAAGCUAGUGGUAAGCUGCUACCACUGAAAAAGAAAUAAUUAUGUGCAUUUUGUAUUAUGCUUUACAUGUGUUCCUGUAAAGUAAUUUUUACAUUUUCUGUACAAUACCACUGUUCAUAUUUUAUCUGUAUUUUUUUGUUGUGUGUUCUUUGUUGAAAAGAAGAAUGUAUGUAGUUUAAAAUAAAUAUUUGUAAGUUUUCAGCACUUCAGCACAUUGCUUCUUUCACUUUUCUUAAAAUAAUAUUUUGUUUUAACUUGUGUCUCUUUGGUAUCUGCUAGCCACUCAUUUAUAAAUACUUUGUAAAGCAUAGCAAGUCCUCACUUUAGAUGGGCUCACACCAUGUAGUCAACUAAUCCGUAGUAACUCAUGAGUUAAUCAUGAAUUGAAGUGUUGUUAAGUGCUUGUUAAAGAUGCAGUAACACUAACUAUCCGUAGGCAUAUUUCUGAAGGCAUG